Molecule: ribosomal RNA, 119 nt
Filed under: Gossypium arboreum
Lineage: Eukaryota; Viridiplantae; Streptophyta; Magnoliopsida; Malvales; Malvaceae
Also listed under: 2 other names
Source: RNAcentral
GGGUGCGAUCAUACCAGCACUAAUGCACCGGAUCCCAUCAGAACUCCGCAGUUAAGCGUGCUUGGGCGAGAGUAGUACUAGGAUGGGUGACCUCCUGGGAAGUCCUCGUGUUGCACCGC